AACGAACGCUGGCGGCAGGCCUAACACAUGCAAGUCGAGCGUGAAAGGGGCUUCGGCCCUGAGUAAAGCGGCGCACGGGUGAGUAACACGUGAAUAAUCCGCCCCCAUGACCGGGAUAACAGACCGAAAGGACUGCUAAGACCGGAUAAGCUUCCGCGCCAACCGGGCGAGUGGAGAAAAAGACGGGACCUUCGGGCCGUCUGCAUGGGGAUGAGUUCGCGUUCCAUUAGAUAGUUGGUGAGGUAAUGGCCCACCAAGUCGACGAUGGAUAGCUGGUCUAAGAGGAUGAUCAGCCACACUGGAACUGAGACACGGUCCAGACUCCUACGGGAGGCAGCAGUGGGGAAUCUUGCGCAAUGGAGGAAACUCUGACGCAGCCAUGCCGCGUGAGUGAAUGAAGGCCUUCGGGUUGUAAAGCUCUGUCUGAGGGGACGAAUGCCGUUGAGUCCAACAGGCUUGACGGGUGACGGUACCCUCAAAGAAAACACCGGCUAACUCCGUGCCAGCAGCCGC
Molecule: ribosomal RNA, 513 nt
Filed under: uncultured bacterium
Lineage: Bacteria
Description: bacterial SSU rRNA
Rfam family: Bacterial small subunit ribosomal RNA
Source: RNAcentral